AUAAGAUUCGAUCUCUAAGACAAAAAGGACAAAGGUUUUGGAUCUAUUAUAGGAUUGGGUUGGGGUGCGUGUGAAUGGUAUUGAGAUUGGAGACCACGUAAGCAGGCUUGUGUUGUCUGUAAACUACGGAAAGAAAGAUCACAGUUUUUGAUUUUUUUUUUUUUAUUAAUUUAUAAGGAUUUUUGGAAUUUUCUUGCCGGUUUUGUGUUUUAAUUUUCGGAGCUGAUGAGAAGAUUGUAAUGGAUUUUUGAGGUGAAUUACGUAAGUGACCCUGUCCGAGAUUUGGUUUUGGUCUUUUCUUUGGCCGAAUUUUAUGGAGGAAGUUGAGUGACCGAUAAUUCGGAAAAACCUAAUAACUAACAAACUAUGAUCUAAUGUUUGUAGAAAAUAAAAAUCAUCUGUUGUGUAAAUAUGCGUUUUAUUUAAUCUUAUCCAUACAUAAAUCAUAGUUUUUUCAAGUUUUUAUAUAUCUUUUGGACCAUCAAUUCGAAAUUUUAAUUAAUACAUUUUUAGCAUUUGAUUUUUAAUCUAUUUCAUGUAUUUAUGUCAUUAAUUUUAAAUGCAUCAACAAAACCAGUUCGUGUAAACCCAUUUCUAAGAACACGAGUUAACCAAAAUCAAUUGUCUUAACCAGAAAUUAAACUGGAUUUUAUUUCUGACAUUCUUUCAUGAUCAUUAUGUAAUCAAUACGUUCAUGAUAAUGUGUUCCACCAAGAUCAAACAUGAAAAAUUACUGCCACAAAUAGCACAUUUAUAAUACUAUUUUUCAUAACUAUUUUACCAUCACUUUUAGUGAAUGGUAAAAAGUGAUGGUAAAAAAAAAUUUUCUUUAGGGUUAAUUAAUCUAAACUUAAAAUUUAGAGUUAAGGGAUGAAGUUGAGUGUACGUAUAAGUAAAAGUGUACCUUCCUUAUCUUGGACGAUGAAAAUGAAAAAGCUCCACUCUUCUUAUUGAAUCAUUCACACACAUACUUAUGGCCCUAUUUCCUGUUCAAAGCAACUCAUAACAUUUACAUAAAUACUUGUUGCAACUCAUCUAUGAACCUCACAAAGUUUUGAUAAAACGUGAAAGAACAAUAACAUAGAUGAAUAUAUUUUUUUAAGUCAAAAAUAAACUAUUGAUUUAAAAUGAUUUAUGGGUUAUUAGUUGAGUUAUAAAUAUUUGGUAUCUAACUAAUAAAAAUGACAAAAUGUGGAAUGAUUAAUAAAUUUUUAAAAUUAUGUUAAGGUGCAAAAUUGUAAGAAAGACUCUUGAUGAGAUACAUUGGAGUAUAUAUUAGCAACAAUGAAAAGUUUACCUGUAAACUCUAAUUGUUUUUGAAGCUCUUCACCAAUAACAUAAUUUUUCACCUGAAGGAAAAUAGUAGAGAAGGGAACAUUCAAUGAUUUAUCAAUAAGUGAGACUUAUAUUACCUGAACUUCAGCAAUCCUUUGCAAUUGAGAUUCUCAACCUGUCUGAUAAUCGAAGGACUGCAACUAAAGCAUUAAACUUCAACGAAACAAAGUACCACGUCAAGGACUCAAAACAGCAGAAUGAAGAUGACUUGUAUUUCCCAUCAUCUUAACUAAAUCUGUUGGAAGAAAGUAACUUGUUUAGCAGCCUUGACAAAUCAACACUGAGCUGCUUAGGUUUCUCGGAAAAGCAGCGGUAGGAUCAGCGGUAGCCGUAGUUGUAGGAGCAGAAAAUGGUGGAUCAGGUAGUUAGGUGAAAUCUGAACCAGAGGAGCAUCUCUUUGGAGUGUACCGAACGCUUUGAAAGUGAUUGCAGCUAUCAAAUUCACUGGUUCUUGCAACUGUGGUAUUAUAUCUACAAAGCCCUUUCAAUCAACCGGAGCUCACCGUAGCUCCACCAGCACCAAUUACGUUUCUAAUCACAACCAAUCCUGCCGACUUCCCCUUAAAAGAUUUCCACUUCACCAGCUUCUCCAGUCUAUGGAAAAGCACCUGCCUUAACGAGCUGGAUCCGGAUGAAAAGCAUUUCCAACAAUGGCUUCAUGAAUGCAGAAGCAAAAGAAGGCUUCAUUGUUUGCCAAGAGAUCUCCAACACAGUUGUGAAGAACCGUCGGGUCUACAGCUCCCACUGAUUAGGAAGCUCAAGAUUGAGAAGAGCAGAAUGAUGAAUUUCACGGGGGGGGGGGGGGGGGGGGUUGCAAUCAAAGAUCUAUUGUGUGAGGAGUGCAGAGCAAUGAUUAAUGAGCGCGUUCAAUACGACCCCACUACAAGAAUAAUAGAAAAUAGCAAAGGACUAGCGACAAUAUUUCCGUAGCCAUAACAAUUAGUGAUGAAAAUUGCAACGGAAAGUGACAAAACAAAAAAAAAAUGUUAAGGUUGUAGCUAAUUUGUAGCGAUCUAUAACAAUCUAGCUACAAAUAUGAUCGAUAGGAAUUCUCUAGCUAAAUAGCUACUAAUUAGCGAGGAGUAAAUUGUCACCAAAACUUUUAUAGUUAUCAACGCAUGGCUAUAAAUAUUUAUGUAUCUAAUUGAUAUGUAUGUGCCAUAUGUAUGAUAUUUGAAUUUAUGAUAUAUGUUUGAAACUAAUAAUGCUUGAAUUAAGAUAGUGUGAAUUUGCGUUAUAUGUUUAAAACACUUCAAUUUUUAUGUUUGUGUUUGGUUGAUAUAUACUUGAGUUACAGAUAUAGUAUAGGGUUUAUUAGGGAUUGUGGUUUAUGAUUAAGGGUUAAAGAUUUUAUAGUUAAAAAGUUGUUAAAAAUAUAAUAAAUUAUAAUUUGCUAGAAAUUUACAUAAGAUUAAGAAAAGUGUAUAAAUUUGUGAUGUUAAAAUGAAAUAUUGGGUUACUAUUUUAGUUAUGAAUUAUGGUAUAUGGUAUAGAUUUUAAGGAUUGUGGUUUAGGAUAAAGAGUAUAUAGGUAAAGAGUUGUUAAAAAUAUUAAAAAUUGGUUGGUAAUUUCUAAUUGGUUAGAAAUUUAUAUUAGACUAUUAAAAAUGUAUAAGUUUGUUUAUUGUAAAAACCUUUUUUUCAUUAAUUAUUUUGCCUCCAUUCAUUCUCUCAUAAGUAUUUUUGGCUCCACUAAAUGCCUUCAUUUUUUCAUUUCCCUCCUAAAUAUAAUAUCUAAAACAACUAUUAAAUAAAUAAAAACUUUUGACAUUUGAUUGUUUUUAAUCUAAAGGCUAUAAAUCAUUAUUUUGUGAAUCCUCUACCUUCUUUCUCAUUGGUCAAUAUAUAUAUAUAACCUUAAAUUUGGAUUGUAUAAAUGUUAUAAUCUAAUAAAUGCAUUCAAUUAUCACAAUAACUAUUGAGUAAAUAGAUAUAAUUCUUAGGAUAUAAAAAUAAUACAUUUUGAAAUAGAUUGAGCAUAAUUUAUGUUUACAGAGAUAAUAUCUAUAAAUUAAAAAAAAGUCCAAAAUAAAUUUGUCAAAAUUAAAAUAUGAAUGAGUUUUUUGGUGUGUUCGGGAAUCAAAUCUCUUUUGUACAAAAUGUAGUUUAAGAAAAAAAAUUAAUUUCCAAAAAUUGAUUUCUGGUACCUAGAGAGAUUAUAGAUCGGAGGUCUAGAACUUCAAUGGUUUUAGAUAAAAGAAGAUCAAACUGAUCUAUAUCUGUGUCCCUUUUAAGUUAGGGUGCAUCUUCUCCUUAUAAUCAAAGUCACUCUGAACUUCACAUAAGUAAGAGAAAGCAAAUAGUUUGGUCCUCAGUUUUGUCCCUCAUCCACUGAGUCCCCUUUUAGAUACUGUGUAGUUUGUGUUAGUAUAAAGUGUUAACCAACAGUACACCCUCUUUGAAUUUCUACUUUCUUUAAGUCGCUUUUUUAUACUAUAUCUAUGCAAAAUCCUUGUCCAAACCACUGGUGGUCGUAGUAGACAUUCCAUCAAUAUCGAAUGGAACAAAAAAAAUGAAAUAGUUUUUUCAAAUAACCAAUUAAUUAAACAGAACUAUUUUGAAACACAAAUCGCUGGAUAGUUGCUAAAAAGAACAUAAAAUGCUGGAAUUGGUUUUUUAAGUGGCUAACUAGACCGCAAUACAUGGACAACACAUCUCGAAGAAGACUUCUACCCAGCCAAACAGAUGACUUAUAUGUGUAAUGUAUUAGUCUAAUCCUCUGAAAAAAAACACUAAAUUCUAAGAAGAAAAAACAGCAUAGUGGAUGACACAAAAAUAAACAACUUUUUUGAACUUUGCAUUAUUAUUACAGAAAGCAAAAAAUAUAACCAGAAAUAUUAUACUUUGUAAGCCAGCUAUGUUAUCAAAGAGAAAAAAAAAAUAGGGACACCUACCAAAUCUAACAAAAAAAACAUGAUGGAAAUACAAUUAUGUAAACUGAAACUCAGAAAACCCUUUAACAAAAAAAGUAAACUGAAACUCAGAGUAUUAAAACGUGUGGUUGAAUCUAAAACAUAUGUAUAUAAAUUUUUGUAUGAAGAAGACCAUAUAUUUUUGCAAAUGUAGUUUUUAUUACUUUUGUUUUGAAAAUGUCAGCUUCGUUUUCAAAAGACAAGUGUUUUAAUUUAGUUAACAAAAGAAAAGAAAAUAGGGAUAUAAUUUCUACAUCUAAUCUUACUGAUAAAAUCAAACGUUAGCAAUCUUUCAAAUCGUUUGAAACAUGGAUUCAAGACGUGAACGGAAUGAACUUUCACAGCUCAAAAGAAUUGGAGUGUUAACCAUUUUUAUAUUAACAUUAUUAAUUAAUAUUUGUGCUUACGCAUUAUAUGUCGCUUGGAAAUAAAACUAAUAAAAGUGGUCCAGAACCAGUUAAGAAACAACGGUGAUGGCAUAAAGAUGCCUCUUCUGACAUCGACCGCUAGAAGUUGCCCUUUCCCUGUUACAACCUUUCUUUUCUUUUAAGGAUCACAAAUUUGCUUUAUUUCUUCUCUUUUCACGUCUGAUAAGAAAGGCCGGCCCAAGACUAAAUCAAUACAAAGCUGAGUAUUUUCAUGCUACUCAACAUACUGAUUAUUCUUUAUUAAGUUAUGGCAAUCGUUAUAAUAGGAGGUAGGAGGUGCGUAACUGAGUAGCUUAUAAUAAACUAGUAUAUCAGCUAAUAAGAUAAGCAAAAGAAUAGGAUAAGUAUAAUAUCCAGUGUGUUCAAAAAAAAAAAAAGUAUAAUAUCCAGUAAAUAAACAUGUGUGCAUUUCAACUAACAUGUGUGUAAAUGUAUAGAGUUUUUUUUUUGAGAAAGAAACUUUUAAAUGUAUAAAGUUUCCAAUUGUUUUUUCUUAUAACUUUAACUAAAGACGAAAGAAUAAAGAGUCAGUCUCUCUCUGACACGCUUCCCAAUGCAGUUUCGCUGAGUGCUUCCUGGCCGUGCUUCCGCCGUGCAACCAUCGUCUUCAACCUCCGGAGAUGCUCUUCUCUCUCCCCCCUUCCCUCCUGACCCUCCAGACCAAACUUCCUCUCUCUCCCUGCACCUUUUUCCGCCCCUAACCUCAACUCCACCUCCCUCCCAUUCGGAAAUUCGCAGAUCCCAUCUAUCCAACUCCCCCAUUGAUAUUGUUAUGUCUCCAGCUCUUGGCUCACCCCCAUCUGCAGCCAUUUCUGGUACCACUACUCAGUUUGGUUCUCUUGCUGAGAUUGAUUCCCUACUUACUGUUCCUGCUACAUGAAACUCUAAUCCACUUUCAUCAUCUUCCCCAACUACUGGUUCUCAAACUCCACACCCAAACCUACACUGUUCCCUUGCUGAACCUAAUUCCAAUAACCUAAAGACAAUCCAGCCUAAUUUAAGCCCUCCCCUGCUAUCAAACCAUGCUUCAAGUAGCUAUGCCCUCUCCAACCAACAGUCUCCUUCCCCUCCCAUUAACACUUUCACUUCCAACUCUCAACCAAAAACUUCCAUAUCCCUGCCCCUCCAUCUCAUCAAACCACUUCCCACUAGCCCCUCUGCUUUUAAAACUCCUUCCUUUGCCCCUUCUUUAGCCAAUAACCCCCUCCACGCCACUGCUGAAAGUCCUUCUGACAAGCCAACUAAACCCUCACUAAAAAGAACACGCUCCUCCCCUACCCUCUCCCCGCCAGCUCUACCAAAAAUUUCCUACCAAUCCUCUAAACACCCUCCCUCUGUCCCCUUCCCUGAAGUCAGUACUAUCCAAUAUCUAAAAAACUCCCCCUACUCCCCCUUCCUUGCCCCCCCCCCCUCCACAAAAAACCUUUUUUUGCCACUACUUAAUCUCGGCGACCCUCUCCAGUCUACUAGAGACCCCCCUUUUUCUUCCUAAUGAGUGCAAAACUCUUUUUUUGGAACCUCCGUGGUCUAAAUGACCCGGCUAAAUAUCAGAUUUUCUCGGAUUGGCUUUAUAGUCAUAGACCCAUUUUUGAUGUCCUUUUGGAAACACAUAUUAAGGAACUAUCUCUGCCCCGCUUGAUGUCAACCCUUUGUAAAGACUGGCAUUAUCUAUCUAAUCACCAAUCAGAUGAAGAUGGGAGAAUUGUGGUUAUUUGGAAGGAUCCAGCUAAAGUCAAAGUGAUCUCUCAAUCAAGGCAAAUGAUCACUUGCGAACUAGAGCUGCCUAAUUGUGCUCCUAUCAUCUACACUGCCAUCUAUGCGUCCAAUCUUAGCGAAGAAAGAAAUGACAUGUGGGUAGAGCUAUUGGACCAGCACUGUGCGCUUGCACUUGACUCAAGGCCGUGGAUGAUAGGAGGUGAUUUUGAUCAGAUUCUCUACCACCAUGAACACUCGGCCUUCUCCCACAGUAGACAUUCUCCACAAAUGUUUCAAUUUCGAGACUGCCUUCUCCAAAUGGGUGUCUUCGAUCUUCGGUAUUAUGGACCUGUUCAUACAUGGACUAACAAAUGUGAUGCUGCUCCGGUUGCAAAGAAACUAGAUAGAUGCUUGAUCAAUAGUGAUUGCCUCACCAGGUUUCCCAACGCCACUGCCACUUUCCUCCCCCCAGCCCCUUCCGACCAUUCGCCUUGCCUUAUCGAUCUCGCAUUCCAUCUCCCUAAAGCUGGUACCCAACCCUUCCGUUUCCUAAACUACCUUACCAAACACCCGAGCUUUCUUGAGGUUGUUACAGAUGCUUGGUUGCUCGCCGGAAGUGUGUCUACCAACCUAGCGUCGCUGUGUUGGAAGUUGAAAGCCAUAAAAAGGAGUCUCAAAAUUCUUAAUAAAGAAAAUUUCUCAAAAAUUCAAGAAAGAGUUACUGAAUCUUACCGUUUGUUACAAAUUGUGCAGGUACAAGCACUGACAGACCCUACUCCCCUUACUUUUGCAGAAGAACACGAGCUGAACCUGAAAUGGAAAUUUCUUAGACAAAUUGAGGAAUGUUUCUUCUUGCAGAAGUCUAGGAUAAACUGGCUGAGAGAGGGGGAUUUGAACACUACCUAUUUUCACCGUGUUUGUCAAGUAAGAGCGAGCUUCAAUGCAAUCCGUUCGUUCCUCCUCUUGACUGGUGCUACCAUUACUGAUCCGUUGGAGAUGAGUGCACAUGCGAUUUCUCACUUCCAAUCUGUUCUCGGUCCUGAUCGGCUUCCAGAGCUUUGGCUCUCUUCUUCUGACUGGUUCUGUAGUCUCACGGCCUUCAGUUGUAGCCAACAACAGAUGUCCUCCAUUCUCCUGAUGCCUACUGCAGAUGAAAUCACUAAGCUUAUGUUCUCCCUUAACCCAAACAAAGCAUCGGGGCCUGAUGGACUAACUUCUGAUUUUUUUAAAGCCUCCUGGUCACUGCUCGGUAUUGAAUGUAUCAACUCGAUACAGGAGUUCUUCAACUCAGGGUUCCUGCCAAAAACAACAAACUCAACCAUUCUUUCUCUGGUACCCAAAUUUACGGGAGCAUCAAAGAUUACAGACUACAGGCCUAUCGCAUGCUUGAACACACUCUACAAAGUUAUUUCACGGCUGCUAGUAAGACGUCUAAAGCCUAUUCUACAUCAGCUGAUCUUGCCAAACCAAACAGCUUUUGUGGAGGGAAGACUACUGGUGGAAAAUACAGUGCUUGCUAGUGAACUUGUAAAUGGCUAUCAUAAGAACAGAGGAAGCAAGAAGAUUACCAUCAAGGUUGACAUAGCUAAAGCAUUUGAUACGCUCUCAUGGGAUUUCCUCUUUGCUGCUCUGGACAGUCUACAUCUCCCUGCUCCUUUUAUCCGGCUGUUGAAAUCUUGCAUCUGCACGCCAACAUUCAUGGUGGGUUACAAUGGUACGGUGAGUGGCUUCUUCAAGGGAAACAGAGGACUUAGGCAAGGAGAUCCUUUCUCUCCUUACCUUUUUGUCAUAGCUAUGAAUUACUUGUCCCUCAUGUUGGAUAAAGAAGCAAGGUCUGGAAAUAUACCGUAUCAUCACCAGUGUCACAAGACGAAGUUGACUCAUCUCUCCUUUGCGGACGACCUUCUGAUCUUCAUUGAUGGGUCUUUGGAGUCAGUACAGAGAGUUCUUCGGAUCCUGCACGAGUUUGAAAAGCGGCCAGGACUCGCGGUGAGUCUACAAAAAUCUAGUUUCUUCGCAUCAGGAAUCACGGAGCAAGAAAUUGCGGUCAUACAAGCCUCUACGGGAAUGCCAUGUGGGAGCUUACCUAUGCGUUAUCUCGGGGUUCCAUUGUGUACAAAGAAACUUAACCUGCAGAACUGUGAGCCUCUACUACAGCAGAUCAAGCAACGCCUCUCCUCUUGGUCCGCUAAAGCUCUAUCGUUUGCAGGGCGUCUGCUACUGAUAAAGACCGUGAUCUCUGGAGUCUCUACUUUCUGGUGCUCCAGUUUCAUCCUGCCAAAAGCGUGCAUAAACAGAAUCAACUCCCUCUGUAGUCAAUUUUUGUGGAACGGUAGUAUUGAAGGCCACCAUACAGCUAGAGUAAGUUGGGAGACAGUGACGCUUACCAAAGAACAGGGAGGGCUCGGGGUAAAAGACCUUCAUAGCUGGAAUCUCGCGUGUAUACUGAAGCUAAUCUGGAUGCUCUUCUUUCGUCCGAACUCUGUCUGGGUCUGCUGGUUCAAAGAGGUCAUCUUAAGAGGAGAUAUAUCUAACUACUGGACGGUAAAUAAAAGCUCCACUCACUCUUGGUUGGUUAACAAGAUGAUCAAGGCCCGUGAGCUUAUCUAUCCGCUGCUUAAACGCCGGAUUGGGAAUGGUGAAACCACACGGUUUUGGUUUGAUAACUGGAUGCCUUUGGGAAGUCUCUACUCCUUCUUAAAUGCCAGCAGCUCUCGCCUUGGUAUCCCGCGCUUAGCAACGGUUGCAUCUCUCUGUAAUGCUGGGCAAUGGUGUCUUCGGCCUGCAAGAAGUGAAAAUCAACUAGCGCUUCAGGUACACUUGACUACGGUGGUCUUAUCAGAGGAAGAGGACUACUAUGAAUGGGAGAUAGAUGGCAUGCUGAGACACAGAUACAACACUGGAGAAAUAUACUCCUACCUAAAAGGUCAUCAGCAGCUUGUCCCUUGGGCCAAGAUCGUCUGGUUCUCUUAUGGGAUUCCCCGACAUAGUUUCCUCACUUGGUGGUCCUCUUGGACCGAUGUCCUACAAGAGACAGAUUAAAUAGUUGGGGUCUAAACGUUGAUCCACUUUGCUUGCUCUGUAAUACUGAUCAUGAGAGUAGAAAUCACCUUUUCUUUGAGUGUAGUUACAGUGCGAUCGUUUGGAGGCAGAUAGCAAAUCGGUGUGAUCUUCAGCAUCUCACAUCCUGGGAUGCCAUUGUUCUCCAGCUCCAAUCCUUGCGAUCGAAUCGGGACUCUAUGCAACUCACGCAACUAGCAACGCAGGCCUCUAUCUACUGGCUCUGGUCGGAACAAAAUUCAAGACUCCAUAAUCGCAACUUCAAGUCGCCAGAGGUUAUAGUCUCCCCCAUAGAUAAGCAGAUUCGAAAUCAGCUUCAAAGCUUCCGCCACUCUAGGGCAUCGUCGGUGAUGACCCAACUCUGGUUUCUCCGAACUUGAUCUCAUUCGGAGUAAGGAACACGUCUCGAUCCUCUCCUCUUGCUACUCACCGUUUCAACUUCAUCUUCUAUUCCUUGGGCUUUGACAAAUUUAUUGGGCUUCAGUUCUACUAAUAUGUGUUUUUAUUAAUGGGUUUAACUUUGGGAUUUAUCCCAUAAGACACUUAAGCCUAGGGCUUGUAUGUUUUUUUUUUCCUUUUGCAAUUUAAUUAAGAAAGCCAGCUUACAAAAAAAAAAUUGUUUUUUCUUAUAUAUGCAAGUAUGGUCAUGGUGUACGGGUUACCGAGUUCUUUUUUCCUGUCGGGCUGUCUUGUUUGCAAGAGUGUAUGAUCAGUCGCAUGCAAUUUGGGCAUAUACUCUACUUCUUGAGAAAAGUUAAGCUAAACUUGUUUAGGCUAAAUUUAUGUACUAUGGUCGAUAGACAAUUAGGAAACUUGUGUUUGACAAAGUAAUUAUAUAUUUUUAUUAAACAUCUAACCUCCUGAUAUAUGCUACAUGAUCGAUAUCUAUAUUAAUAAAGUUGUCAUGUCUUUCUCCACAGGCCACCACGUACGUUAGUAGGAAAGGAUUGACGUUUUUGGACACGCGUCACUUUUUAAUCACUUUUCCUCCACUGUUUAGUUUACAAAAUGAAUGAUUUGGACUUCUGAUAUUUUAUUGGGCUUUAAGACAAAUUUUUUAUUGUUUUUCCUCUGACCUAGAGCUUUCCGUCGGAGCUGUGUUUCUGUAAUCCUACCCUUUUCUCUUCACCAUCUUCCACGACGUAACGGUCCGUAUUAAUUUCAAUCAACAAGGAAUCCCACUACUUUCUCUUCAAUGUAUUUUAGAUUAAACCUUUUGCAACCCCAUUCCAUGUAUAUAUAGACCCUCUGAGAGAGUUGAGGCUGUUGUACAGAGAUUGUCUUGAAAAUAAUGCUCCGUCUCUGGGAGGCCAGUAAUGUUAAGAAAGUCGGUGAGCUGAUAGGCGUUGAUAUGGUGCUCAUUGAUUGGAAGACAUCAAUCAAUCUUCACCGGCUCAACAUAUCUUGAAAGGAGGGUUGUAUGAGCUAAGUGUGUUUGGUGCUACAAGAAGCAACCCAAAUUUUGAUUUGGUGACACCCCUGUUUCUAUUAGGUUCACAGAUCAAACAAUGUUCGUUGAGUUAUUAAAAUCAAUCCACCCCAUCCCGAGGAGAGCUUUCUGUUUCGAAAUUACAACCAACUCAUACUCUUAGCUACCACGAUCACAGUUUUUCGAGGUAUGUUUUCAUUUGGCCGCCUUCGUACAACUCUAUAUAAUCAUUGUAAACACAACACAAAACUACCAUGAUGAGAGUAGUGCUAACAUCGUAAAAGGAAUAAUAGAUAAUAUAUUUAAUAAAAUUAGUAUUUAGGUCAUAGAUGUUCUUUUACGCCAUGUUGUUCUAAAUGUGAACAAAAGCUCUAGGGAGAUAUGUUUCUUUCACAUGCAUUGUAUGUGAUAAUACCAGUGUUGUGGGUGUUCUCAGGUGAUGAUCUAAUAGCUAUGCCAUCCAAUUAUUGUAUUCUACUUAUGUGUUUAGUUUUCUAAAUUUAAGGUGUCUCGGGUUUGAGGGUGCAUGUGUCAAUGCUCAUGUGAACAACGAACUCCCACAGUUUAUUGCUGAUAUUUUUGGCAAGACCUUCGUCUUCCAGCUCAAGUUAGGUGAGUUCAACUUCACUCUUAAACACCAAACCUUUACCAUUUCAUGUAUCAAUCCUUUCUGAACGCCAUGAUGCACCUCUCCCAGAAUUUGUUAUUGAUGUUGGUACGUUAUACUGUCUUAAUAUAUCUUUUUUUCCCUAAAUAAUAUAUUCAUGAUCAUUACUGCAUUCUGAACAGGGUGGUGACCAUAGUGCUGAUGAUGUUAUGCCUGGAGAGAAUCCAGUAGCAUCCAAAGUCUGAUGGUGACAAUAAAACUGAUGUUGAGCUACCAGAUGGUGUGUCAGGAGAAUUCAGGAGAGUACAAAUGCCAACCAUCAACCAUCCUCAUCUGUGGUACCAGGAGGCGGUCGUCUUGCACUAACUAAACCGGUUGAUGGUCCAAAUGAUAAUGGAAAGAAGAAGCCAUGUUUAGCAUAGCUCCACGUCCAAAAAAACACAAAUCCCCACUAGAUUUUGUUCUGUUGUUAUGUCUCCAUUUAUUUUCUUAUCAGUCGGAUUUUUAAUAAACCCAAUGCAAUGGUGGAUGUUUUGAUUUUUGACUAUUAACACAAGGUUUUUACGGAACAUGUCCUUUGAUUUUCUUAUCGCAAAAUUUUCUAGCAACUUAAUCUAUUUUAUAUUAAACCCAAUGUAAUGGUUGAAGUUUUGACUAUUAACUAAAGUUAUUUACUAAACGUCUUCCUUUUAUUUCAAAUGAAAUGGCUAAGGCAUUUAAGCCUUAAACAAAUCAAUGACCUCCGAAUGACAAAUACUGUGAAGAUGAUAAGUUUGAAAUAGUAAACCUAUUCAUCAAAAACUAUUAAGACAAACGUGAUCAAUUAAAUUAUCAUAAUCUCAAAAACUAAGACAGUCCAUACAAACAAAAAUAGAAAUACUCUAGGUGUAACUAUUAUUUUCAAAUCACAUUCUAACAGAUAAGAUGUAAGAAAUAUUUGUUGGAAGGUUUUAUAGAAAACAUAUUGAUUAUGGGUGAAUCAAAAAUUCAGUUAGUUGUUCCACUGUUCUUAAAGAUACAAAAGCUACAAUAGUUUGCGACCCCAACAAGAUUAACAAGAGAUGCUAAUAUAUAUUGCUACUUAUAUAAGCAAAUGAUUAAGUUUGUUUAUUUCAUUUGGAAUUCGUUUUUAUUAUUCUAAUAUCUUAGCUUAUAUGCAACAGCUUUUUUGGUCCUACCAUUAGAUUUUUUUUUUUGAAAUGUUGUAAAAUAACUUUUUCUUAAUAUUAAUUUUUGUAAUGGUCUUUAUCUUUAUAUAUGAUAGAACACCUGAAUAAGAUAUCCUGAAAAAAUAUUCAAUUAGGAUCAAAUCAAUGUUGGAUCAUGAUUAAGAGUUCAUUUAUUGGAUUCAUAAUCGAAGGCCAAAAUAUUUAACCAAUGCAUCUACAAUGAAGCCCAUCACAGAUUGUCACAUCUAUGACAUUGACAAAGCAUGCGAAAAUUGUUACUACUUAAAAAAGAUGAACAAAUUUAAUAUAUUUAUUCUUACAAGAUGAUCACGAAACAAAACAUGCAUUUACAUGUUUUCUUUUUGGAACAUCAACUUUGCUUUAUAUUUCAAAAUUUAACUAUAUUUACAUUGGUGCAACUAUCAACUAUAUAUUCUAUAUUUAAUGAAUCAAUCAGUGAAAACUAUUUACACUACUGUCACUAACCACUAUCAAUCAAAAAACAAUUUUAAAUUUAUUAGAGAAUAAAACAUACGAACCCGGCGCGUAGCACCGAAAUAUCACUAGUAAUAAAUAAACAUGGAGAACGUAAACAUUGAAUUAUUUUCAAUAUUGCAUGGUCAUUAAUGUUGUUAGUAUUUCUACUUCCUAGGUAACUCGGUCGAGUUCUGGAGAGAACCAAUUCUUGAAAGAUCACAUGUUCAACUUUUUAGAAGAAAAGAAAAAAAAGCAAACAUGACCAACAGAGAAAAUUAGCGACUUCUCUAGUUACCGUCGAUUUCAUUGUAAAUUAACAUUUGAUUCAGCAUGUUGACCAACAUUAUUUUGAUCAAUUUUGAGUUUAUCUUGAAUUUUGAUAGUUUAUAUAGUUUAUUUGAAAUAAAUGUUAGUUUAGGAUGAAAUUGGCAUGGUAACAAAAUUCAGGUAGAUAAAAACACAACAUAAAUUGUUGAUGUUGGAAUUGAUCAUUUUUCAGUAAAAUUGCAGAUUGAAGUUACCUCAGAAAUAGUAACAAAUUCAUUGCGAUAAGAAGUUAUUCAUGUUUGGGCCAAUCUAACUAAGCUUCUUUUUUGUGUGUGCACAAAGUAAGCUUAUGUAGAUGGGUUAUUUAUUGGGCUAGGCAACUAUAAUUGAUACUAAAAACUAUCUUGUUUGCGAGUCCAAAUCCAUGAAUUUAAAAUUUCUGAAUAAUGUAGAAAUCUAAUUUUAAUUAUAUAGAUAGAUGUAUGAUGAAAAUACAGUUUUAAUUAUUAACUAAAAACAAAAGGUUUUCUUUGGUCGUUACGAAACUACAAGAGUUAUACUUAUCAAGUCGAUAAAAAAAAAAGAAAUAUAUAUGUAUUUUACAA
RNA transcript from Brassica rapa (field mustard), 13983 nucleotides. It is a transcript of the gene named vacuolar protein sorting-associated protein 32 homolog 1, with no coding region annotated. NCBI's taxonomy places the organism in Eukaryota, Viridiplantae, Streptophyta, Magnoliopsida, Brassicales, Brassicaceae. The record is from RefSeq and is a predicted model, not a curated record.